CCUACGGGCGGCAGCAGUGGGGAAUAUUGGACAAUGGGCGAAAGCCUGAUCCAGCCAUGCCGCGUGUGUGAAGAAGGCCUUCGGGUUGUAAAGCACUUUCAGUGGGGAAGAAAGCCUUGGGGCUAAUACCCACGAGGAAGGACAUCACCCACAGAAGAAGCACCGGCUAACUCCGUGCCAGCAGCCGCGGUAAUACGGAGGGUGCGAGCGUUAAUCGGAAUUACUGGGCGUAAAGCGCGCGUAGGCGGUCUGAUAAGCCGGUUGUGAAAGCCCCGGGCUCAACCUGGGAACGGCAUCCGGAACUGUCAGGCUAGAGUGCAGGAGAGGAAGGUAGAAUUCCCGGUGUAGCGGUGAAAUGCGUAGAGAUCGGGAGGAAUACCAGUGGCGAAGGCGGCCCUCUGGACUGACACUGACGCUCAGGUGCGAAAGCGUGGGUAGCAAACAGGAUUAGAUACCCUUGUAGUC
This 465-nucleotide ribosomal RNA is filed under the name Vreelandella stevensii. Its description in RNAcentral is "partial 16S ribosomal RNA". It matches the Rfam family "Bacterial small subunit ribosomal RNA", at positions 338 to 795 of the family's 1533-position model. Lineage: Bacteria; Pseudomonadati; Pseudomonadota; Gammaproteobacteria; Oceanospirillales; Halomonadaceae. The record is from RNAcentral.